Molecule: ribosomal RNA, 376 nt
Filed under: uncultured organism
Description: bacterial SSU rRNA
Rfam family: Bacterial small subunit ribosomal RNA
Source: RNAcentral
CGGAGGGUGCAAACGUUGCUCGGAAUCAUUGGGCGUAAAGCGUCACGUAGGCGGUUCGUUAAGUCGGAUGUGAAAGCCCUCGGCUCAACCGAGGAAGUGCAUACGAAACUGGCGAACUUGGAAUAUGGAAGAGGGUCGCGGAAUUCCCGGUGUAGAGGUGAAAUUCGUAGAUAUCGGGAGGAACACCAGUGGCGAAGGCCGGCGACCUGGGCAGUAGCUGACACUGAGGCGCGACAGCGUGGGGAGCAAACAGGAUUAGAUACCCUGGUAGUCCACGCCGUAAACGAUGGGCACUAGGUGCUUGGGGGAGCGACCCCCUGAGUGCCGGCGCUAACGCAUUAAGUGCCCCGCCUGGGGAGUACGGCCGCAAAGGCUG